CGAGACUGCAGAGGGAGUAGUGCGAUCCUGCGCGCGGGGGAACUAGCUGGAGGGCAAGGCGGGAACACGCCACUGUGAGCAUGCAUUUCAGGUUGUUGGCGCAGCUCUGCUCCAUGAUGUCGAUCUGAAACCCAGAUUUUCCUUCUCUUGCCACUGUCAUCUCCUGCAUGGCCAAAGCUAGGUCACCAUCAUAGUCAUGUUUCAGCCUAUGGGAAGGGGGAAAGACAAUAUUCAAGCAUCUAUUGUUGGGGUGAUCGGACCUAACACCAGGUUGUGGGGACAACGAAGUCCAGAAGAGUGAAAGGAAUGAGAAAAGACAGUUUGAGAGAGAAAGUGGGCCCAGGGGGCCAAUGCGAGUAUGGAGGCUGUGAAGGCCCCGAGCCCUGGAAGCCCAGACUAUUUAUUGGUGAUCAAACAAAGAAACAGGUGGUGAGAAUGUGGGGUUGAAAGGGAGCAUUGCAUUAAGCACAUGAUUUACAGCUGUGAUGGUUUAGCAUAUGCUCUGCUACUUGAGAUAAUGGAGAGCAGGUUCUUUUAACUCAAGAUACAAUAGAUCCUGGGAGAGCAGGGAGCAAGGAGCCAGCCAGCCUAGACACAUUCCAGAGGCCAUGAGCCCUGGAUUCUUUCCAAGCCACAAGGGGUUUUAUGCCCUGGGCUUAGAUUAUGGUGCAUCAGGGUAGCCUUCCACCCUUUGGCGCAGAGCUUGGUGUUCCAAAGGCCACGAGGGGUUUUAGACCCAGGAUCCCAGACAUAUUUCAAGACUUUUUUGUAUUAUGUCAGACAUGCAAGCCCUGCCUCAGCUUCUCUCCCAACACUCAGCUUUUCUCCCAACAUUUAUUAAAUAGCUCCUAUGUGCAAAGCAGUGUGCCGGGUACCUUAGUCACAGUGGGCACCAACAUUUAACCAGUCUCUGGCUACAUGAACCUUAGAAAUGCUUAGAUAAAAAAGGUACAUAUCAGCAGUUAUGUUAUAUAUAUAAAUUAUGUAAAUAAGUUAUUUUAUACCAAAAAAGUACGUAUUUUCCAGUGCAACUUAAUUAAUUGGUAUUCUGAUUUAUACAUCAAUCUAAGAUGACUUUGUUAAUAUGAGUCCACAAGAGGCUAUCUAGAUACGUGGGUUAAAUUGAGUUUCUACACCUGCUAAGCUGAGAGCCAAACUGUGGUGCUUGGAGACGCAUUAAAGGCACAAUCACUCUUGGCAGUGCUUCUGGGUGCUCAGCAGGCAUCUCACCCUAAGAACUCUAGGCCAUUCUGAUUCAUUUCAGUAGUAGGGAGCAAGUUUUUUUUUUUUUUUUUUGAGAUGGAGUCUCACUCUGUUGCCAGGCUGUCAGGCUGGGGUGCAAUGACACCAUCUCUGCUUACUGCAACCUCUGCCUCCCAGGUUCAAGCAAUUCUCCUGCCUCAGCCUCCCCAGAGUAGCUGGGACUACAGGUGCACGCCACCACACCCAGCUAAUUUUUGUAUUUUUAGUAGAGACGGGGUUUCACCAUGUUGGCCAGGAUGGUCUCAAUCUCGUGACCUUGUGAUCCACCCACCUCGGCCUCCCAAAGUGCUGGAAUUACAGGCAUGAGCCAUCGUGCCCGGCCGGGAGCAAGUUCUUAUACCCGUUCACAUAUACCACUACACAGAUGCCCUCACUGAAAAAUAUGAAAAAUAAACAUAGAGUUUUGUUUUUGUUUUAAAUAAUAAGAGGUGGGUAUGAGGGGGAUUUUUCAAAUUAGAAAUAUUGGCAUUAGAAGGUAGAUAUAAUUCAACAGUUAAAGAAAGUGUAAUUAAAAACCAUGAUUUACCCCGGGCCGAGGGUGAGGCAGGUCGGGCGUCCCCACACCGGGCCCGGGCACCGGGAGUGGGCGUCUGGGCAGCACCGGGUGAUGGCCCUGCUGCUGGUGCUCCUCGCCUCCUGGGGCCUUGGGCAAUGAGGGGGCCGGUGGGCGUGGGCUGAGUGGCCGUGGGCGCCAUGGAGUGGGUGCUGUACAAGUGGACCAACUAUCUGAGCAGUUGGCAGCCUUGAUGGUUCUUUCUCUGUAGGGGAAUAUUGUCCUAUUAUGAUUCUCCUGAAGAUGCCUGGAAAGGUUGCAAAGGGAGCAUACAAAUGGCAGUCUGUGAAAUUGAAGUUCAUUCUGUAGAUAAUACAUGCAUGGACCUGAUAAUCCCCGGGGAACAGUAUUUCUACCUGAAGGCCAGAAGUGUGCCUGAAAGAUAGCGGCGGCUGGUGGCCCUGGGAUCAGCCAAGGCUUGCCUGACUGACAGUAGGACCCAGAAGGAUAAAGAGUUUGCUGAAAACACUGAAAACUUGAAAACCAAAAUGUCAGAACUAAGACUCUGCUGUGACCUCCUUGUUCAGCAAGUAGAUAAAACAAAAGAAGUGACCACAACUGGUGUGUCCAAUUCUGAGGAGGGAAUUGAUGUGGGAACUUUGCUGAAAUCAACCUGUAAUACUUUUCUGAAGACCUUGGAAGAAUGCAUGCAGAUUGCAAAUGCAGCCUUCACCUCUGAGCUGCUCUACCACACUCCACCAGGAUCACCACAGCUGGCCAUGCUCAAGUCCAGCAAGAUGAAACAUCCUAUUAUACCAAUUCAUAAUUCAUUGGAAAGGCAAACGGAGUUGAGCACUUGUGAAAAUGGAUCUUUAAAUAUGGAAAUAAAUGGUGAGGAAGAAAUCCUAAUGAAAAAUAAGAAUUCCUUAUAUUUGAAAUCUGCAGAGAUAGACUGCAGCAUAUCAAGUGAGGAAAAUACAGAUGAUAAUAUAACCGUCCAAGGUGAAAUAAUGAAGGAAGAUAGAAUGGAAAACCUGAAAAAUCAUGACAAUAACUUGUCUCAGUCUGGAUCAGACUCAAGUUGCUCUCCAGAAUGCCUCUGGGAGGAAGGCAAAGAAGUUAUCCCAACUUUCUUUAGUACCAUGAACACAAGCUUUAGUGACAUUGAACUUCUGGAAGACAGUGGCAUUCCCACAGAAGCAUUCUUGGCAUCAUGUUGUGCUGUGGUUCCAGUAUUAGACAAACUUGGCCCUACAGUGUUUGCUCCUGUUAAGAUGGAUCUUGUUGAAAAUAUUAAGAAAGUAAAUCAGAAGUAUAUAACCAACAAAGAAGAGUUUACCACUCUCCAGAAGAUAGUGCUGCACGAAGUGGAGGCGGAUGUAGCCCAGGUUAGGAACUCAGCGACUGAAGCCCUCUUGUGGCUGAAGAGAGGUCUCAAAUUUUUGAAGGGAUUUUUGACAGAAGUGAAAAAUGGGGAAAAGGAUAUCCAGACAGCCCUGAAUAACGCAUAUGGUAAAACAUUGCGGCAACACCAUGGCUGGGUAGUUCGAGGGGUUUUUGCGUUAGCUUUAAGGGCAACUCCAUCCUAUGAAGAUUUUGUGGCCGCGUUAACCGUAAAGGAAGGUGACCACCGGAAAGAAGCUUUCAGUAUUGGGAUGCAGAGGGACCUCAGCCUUUACCUCCCUGCCAUGAAGAAGCAGAUGGCCAUACUGGACGCUUUAUAAGAGGUCCAUGGGCUGGAAUCUGAUGAGGUUGUAUGAUGGCUGCUGGGCAGCACCUCCUAACUUCAGGGAAUAAAGUGCUAAAGUGUAAAAAAAAAUAAAAAUAAAAAUAAAUAAAUAAAUAAAAUUAAAAAAAAUAAAAACCAUGAU
RNAcentral lists this long non-coding RNA (3627 nucleotides) under Homo sapiens (human). RNAcentral describes it as "non-protein coding lnc-DBX2-4:3". The record is from RNAcentral. Lineage: Eukaryota; Metazoa; Chordata; Mammalia; Primates; Hominidae.